This 554-nucleotide ribosomal RNA is filed under the name Papiliotrema flavescens. RNAcentral's name for it is "eukaryotic LSU rRNA". It matches the Rfam family "Eukaryotic large subunit ribosomal RNA", at positions 84 to 627 of the family's 3401-position model. Lineage: Eukaryota; Fungi; Basidiomycota; Tremellomycetes; Tremellales; Rhynchogastremaceae. The record is from RNAcentral.
UAACGGCGAGUGAACCGGGAAGAGCUCAAAUUUGAAAUCUGGCGUGCUCAGUGCGUCCGAGUUGUAAUCUAUAGAGUCGUUUUCCGUGCCGGACUGUGUCCAAGUCCCUUGGAACAGGGUAUCAAAGAGGGUGAUAAUCCCGUACUUGACACAAUGACCGGUGCUCUGUGAUACGUCUUCUACGAGUCGAGUUGUUUGGGAAUGCAGCUCAAAAUGGGUGGUGAGUUCCAUCUAAAGCUAAAUAUUGGCGAGAGACCGAUAGCGAACAAGUACCGUGAGGGAAAGAUGAAAAGCACUUUGGAAAGAGAGUUAAACAGUACGUGAAAUUGUUAAAAGGGAAACGAUUGAAGUCAGUCGUGACUGAGAGGCUCAGCCGGUUCUGCCGGUGUAUUCCCCUCAGUCGGGUCAACAUCAGUUUUGUUCGGUGGAUAAGGGCAGUUGGAAGGUGGCACCCUCGGGUGUGUUAUAGCCAGCUGUCGCAUACAUCGGAUGAGACUGAGGAAUGCAGCUCACCUUUAUGGCCGGGGUUCGCCCACGUUCGAGCUUAGGAUGUU